AGUUCGAUCCUGGCUCAGAUUGAACGCUUACAGGAUGCUUUACACAUACCGUAAGCUGGAACGGCAGGAACGGACUUCGGUCUGGUGGCGAGUGGCGAACGGGUGAGUAAUGUAUCGGAACGUGCCUAGUAGCGGGGGGAUAACUACGCGAAAGGUAGCUAAUACCGCAUACACUUUGGGAAAGCGGGGGACCUUCGGGCCUCGCACUAGAGCGGCUGAUAUCGGAUUAGCUUAGUUGCGGGGUGGAAUUGCUCACCAAGGCGGACCGAUCUGCAGCUGGUUUGAGAGGACGACCAGCCACACUGGGACUGAGACACGGCCCAGACUCCUACGGGGAGGAGGCAGCAGUGGGAAUUUUGGACAAUGGGGGAAACCCUGAUCCAGCCAUCCCGCGUGUGCGAUGAAGGCCUUCGGGUUGUAAAGCACUUUGGCAGGAAAAGAAACGGCACGAUGCCAAUACCCCGUGCAACUGACGGUACCUGCAGAAUAAGCACCGGCUAACUACGUGCCAGCAGCCGCGGUAAUACGUAGGGUGCAAGCGUUAAUCGGAAUUACUGGGCGUAAAGCGUGCGCAGGCGGUUCGGAAAGAAAGAUGUGAAAUCCCCAGAGCUUAACUUUGGAACUGCAUUUUUAACUACCGAGCUAGAGUGUACAGAGGAAGGAAUUCCGGGCGUAGCAGUGAAAUGCGUAGAUAUGCGGAGGAACACCGAUGGCGAAGGCAGCUCUGGGAUAACACUGACGCUCGCGCACGAAAGCGUGGGGAGCAAACAGAUUAGAUACUCUGUAGUCUCAUGUGGCCUCAAACGAUGUCAAUCUAUUGUUACUAGCCUUGGUAGCGCAGCUAACGCGUGAAGUUGACCGCCUGGGGAGUACGGUCGCAAGAUUAAAACUCAAAGGAAUUGACGGGGACCCGCACAAGCGGUGGAUGAUAUGGACUAAUCUUUGAUGCAACGCCAUGAAAACCUUACCUACCCUGACAUGCUGGAAUCCCGAAGAGAUUUGGGGAGUGCUCGCAAGAGAACCGGAACACAGGUGCUGGCAUGGCUGUCGUCAGCUCGUGUCGUGAGAUGUUGGGUUAAGUCCCGCAACGAGCGCAACCUUUGUCAUUAUUACGGCACUCUAAUGAGACUGCCGGUGACAAACCGGAGGAAGGUGGGGAUGAUGUCAAGUCCUUUCGUUGGCCCUUAAGUGGGUAGGGCUUCGCCACGUCAUACAAUGUCGACAGAGGGUCGCUAACCCGCGAGGGGGAGCCAAUCCCAGAAACCCGGAUCGUAGUCCGUCGAUCGCAGGUUCGUAACCCGAUCAUGCGAAGUCGGAAUCGCUAGUAAUCGCGGAUCAGCAUGUCGCGGUGAAUACGUUCCCGGGUCUUGUACACACCGCUGCCCGCCUACACCAUGGGAGUGGGUUUUACCAGAAGUAGUUAGCUCAACCGUGGCGAGGGCGAUUACCACGGCAGUAGGAUUCGACUGGGGCGAAGUCGUAACAAGGUAA
This 1491-nucleotide ribosomal RNA is filed under the name uncultured Bordetella sp. RNAcentral describes it as "partial 16S-23S ribosomal RNA intergenic spacer". It matches the Rfam family "Bacterial small subunit ribosomal RNA". The record is from RNAcentral. Lineage: Bacteria; Pseudomonadati; Pseudomonadota; Betaproteobacteria; Burkholderiales; Alcaligenaceae.